Molecule: long non-coding RNA, 519 nt
Organism: Hordeum vulgare subsp. vulgare (domesticated barley)
Lineage: Eukaryota; Viridiplantae; Streptophyta; Magnoliopsida; Poales; Poaceae
Exons: 2
Source: RefSeq, a predicted model, not a curated record
GAGGUCGUGCUCAUUGCCUCAAACUUUCAUUUAACUCUCAUAUAGAACAUUUGAUCUAGCAAGAAGCAAGGCUUCAAAUAUGAAGGGGAGCAGCUUGGUGUUCAUGGUUACUCUUUUGUCCAUCAGCUAUCUUGCAGCGAGCGGACCGCGUGACCUCGGGGAUGAAAGGAGCCGCGACGACGGCCGUGCCAGCGCAAGUGCUAAUGCUCCUGUAUUACACUCGUCAUUAGAUGAGAGCAAGAUUAGCAUGAGAUUUUGUGUGGUUAGAGAUUGUAAAACCAAAGCUGAGGGCUGGACUGAGUUAUGCUACUGCUGCCUUCCGCUGCCGGAUUUUCCAUGUUGGCAUAAGCUACACGAGUGUCAAGCAAACUGCCCCGCGUGCAAGCCCAAUUGCUAGCUAGGGAGUCUCAACCGAUCGGCCGGCAGUGGAUCUAGAAUUGCCCUAUUUGAAUAAAAUGAUUGUUAUAGUUAGCUGCUAUUUUACAAGAAUUAGUUGAAUGCCCAUGUUUUCUCACUGAA